RNAcentral lists this ribosomal RNA (208 nucleotides) under uncultured bacterium. RNAcentral describes it as "partial 16S ribosomal RNA". It matches the Rfam family "Bacterial small subunit ribosomal RNA", at positions 568 to 774 of the family's 1533-position model. The record is from RNAcentral.
UGCGUAGGUGGUGAGGUAAGUCGGAUGUGAAAUCUCCAAGCUCAACUUAGAAAUGGCAUUGGAAACUACCUUGCUGGAGGUUUGGAGGGGGGACUGGAAUUCUUGGUGUAGCAGUGAAAUGCGUAGAUAUCAAGAGGAACACCAGUGGCGAAGGCGAGUCCCUGGACAACACCUGACACUGAGGCACGAAAGCUAGGGGAGGCAAACA